UCUCCCCUUUUAGGAGCAGUCUCGUUAGACAAAGUAACUAACGACGAGGGUUGCGCUCGUUGCGGGACUUAACCCAACACCUCACGGCACGAGCUGACAACAGCCAUGCAACAUCUGUGCAACUGUCCCGAAGGAAGACCCGCUUUCACGGGCUGUCAGAAGCAUGUCAAGUCCAGGUAAGGUUCUUCGCUUAUCAUCGAAUUAAACCACACGCUCCGCUGCUUGUGCGGGGACCCGUCAAUUCCUUUGAGUUUUAGCCUUGCGGCCGUACUCCCCAGGCGGGGUACUUAUCGCGUUAGCUUCGGCACGGGAGGGGUCGAUACCCCCCAUACCUAGUACCCAUCGUUUAGGGCGUGGACUAC
This 362-nucleotide unclassified non-coding RNA is filed under the name uncultured Dehalococcoidia bacterium. RNAcentral describes it as "contains 16S-23S intergenic spacer region". Lineage: Bacteria; Bacillati; Chloroflexota; Dehalococcoidia. The record is from RNAcentral.